GGAUGAACGCUAGCUACAGGCUUAACACAUGCAAGUCGAGGGGCAGCAUGGUCUUAGCUUGCUAAGGCCGAUGGCGACCGGCGCACGGGUGAGUAACGCGUAUCCAACCUUCCGUACACUCAGGGAUAGCCUUUCGAAAGAAAGAUUAAUACCUGAUGGUAUGAUGAGAUUGCAUGAUAGCAUCAUUAAAGAUUUAUCGGUGUACGAUGGGGAUGCGUUCCAUUAGGUAGUAGGCGGGGUAACGGCCCACCUAGUCUUCGAUGGAUAGGGGUUCUGAGAGGAAGGUCCCCCCACAUUGGAACUGAGACACGGUCCAAACUCCUACGGGAGGCAGCAGUGAGGAAUAUUGGUCAAUGGGCGAGAGCCUGAACCAGCCAAGUAGCGUGAAGGAUGACUGCCCUAUGGGUUGUAAACUUCUUUUAUAAAGGAAUAAAGUCGGGUAUGGAUACCCGUUUGCAUGUACUUUAUGAAUAAGGAUCGGCUAACUCCGUG
RNAcentral lists this ribosomal RNA (492 nucleotides) under uncultured bacterium. RNAcentral describes it as "bacterial SSU rRNA". It matches the Rfam family "Bacterial small subunit ribosomal RNA", at positions 27 to 507 of the family's 1533-position model. The record is from RNAcentral.